RNAcentral lists this small RNA (496 nucleotides) under Pongo abelii (Sumatran orangutan). RNAcentral describes it as "retained intron". The record is from RNAcentral. Lineage: Eukaryota; Metazoa; Chordata; Mammalia; Primates; Hominidae.
GUAAACAAAUCAACAAACCACACCAUAAACGGCCUUCUAAGAAUGGCUGCAGUGGAACCCCGUCUCCACUCCACGCCUGUGCUCUGGGAAGUCAGGGGGGACAGGGAGCCCCAUUAAUGGAGGACAGGCCCCCCAGCGGAGCCUGGGAGCCAGUGCCGGCCCUCGGAAGCUGUGGGGCCAGCAGCAAUGCCUCGCGGGGCUGGGAAGACGCUGCGUGAUGCUGGGCCCGUCCGUCACUGCAUGAUGCGGUGCCCAUCCCUCGGUGCAGAUGGAGGAUUUCCAGAUCUACGAGAAGUACUGUCAGAACAAGCCCCGCUCCGAGAGCCUGUGGAGACAGUGCUCCGACUGCCCGUUCUUCCAGGAAUGCCAGAGGAAGCUGGACCACAAGCUGAGCCUGGACUCCUACCUGCUGAAGCCAGUGCAGAGGAUCACCAAGUACCAGCUGCUGCUCAAGGAAAUGCUGAAAUACAGCAAGAACUGCGAGGGGGCUGAGGAC